RNAcentral lists this long non-coding RNA (443 nucleotides) under Mytilus galloprovincialis (Mediterranean mussel). The record is from RNAcentral. Lineage: Eukaryota; Metazoa; Mollusca; Bivalvia; Mytilida; Mytilidae.
CAAUAUUCAAUUAUAUUGCACUUGUGCAAAUAUAGAUCCUAAUUAUACAUGUAAUAAAUGACAAAUUAUAUUCUUCACACUGUAUAAAGCCUUGUUUGAUUUUCAACUUUUUUUUUAUCUAUAAGGUUUUUGCAGAAUGUUGUUAUCUUCUUUUAAACAAACAGUUUUUAGUUGCAGUAUAACGAAAAAGACAGAUAUUGUCUAAAACAGAAAUUAUGUAUUUACUUUUUAUGAUGUUACUUCUAGUUAACUGCUAUUAUUUCUAGACCCAAGGAAACACUCAGAUUUAUUCUACCCAAUCUAGUUAGGGUCAGACGUAACACAAUCUGUGUGACCAACUAUCUGUGCUGAACAGGACUGAAUUACUGUGCAUGUGCAUGUUCUAUGAACAACAAAAAUAUGAUCACAUUGUUAAUAAAAUGGUGAUUCACGAUUUUAAUCAA